RNAcentral lists this ribosomal RNA (527 nucleotides) under Penicillium chrysogenum. RNAcentral describes it as "eukaryotic LSU rRNA". The stretch from base 188 to 340 matches the Rfam family "5.8S ribosomal RNA". The record is from RNAcentral. Lineage: Eukaryota; Fungi; Ascomycota; Eurotiomycetes; Eurotiales; Aspergillaceae.
CUGUCUCAUUACCGAGUGAGGGCCCUCUGGGUCCAACCUCCCACCCGUGUUUAUUUUACCUUGUUGCUUCGGCGGGCCCGCCUUAACUGGCCGCCGGGGGGCUUACGCCCCCGGGCCCGCGCCCGCCGAAGACACCCUCGAACUCUGUCUGAAGAUUGUAGUCUGAGUGAAAAUAUAAAUUAUUUAAAACUUUCAACAACGGAUCUCUUGGUUCCGGCAUCGAUGAAGAACGCAGCGAAAUGCGAUACGUAAUGUGAAUUGCAAAUUCAGUGAAUCAUCGAGUCUUUGAACGCACAUUGCGCCCCCUGGUAUUCCGGGGGGCAUGCCUGUCCGAGCGUCAUUGCUGCCCUCAAGCACGGCUUGUGUGUUGGGCCCCGUCCUCCGAUCCCGGGGGACGGGCCCGAAAGGCAGCGGCGGCACCGCGUCCGGUCCUCGAGCGUAUGGGGCUUUGUCACCCGCUCUGUAGGCCCGGCCGGCGCUUGCCGAUCAACCCGAAUUUUUAUCCAGGUUGACCUCCUCCGAUCCCG